GCGAACGCUGGCGGCAGGCUUAACACAUGCAAGUCGAGCGCCCGUAGCAAUACGGGAGCGGCAGACGGGUGAGUAACACGUGGGAACGUGCCCUUUGGUCUGGAACAACCCAGGGAAACUUGGGCUAAUACCGGAUACGUCCGUAAGGAGAAAGAUUUAUCGCCAAGGGAUCGGCCCGCGUCUGAUUAGCUAGUUGGUGGGGUAAUGGCCCACCAAGGCUACGAUCAGUAGCUGGUCUGAGAGGAUGAUCAGCCACAUUGGGACUGGGACACGGCCCAAACUCCUACGGGAGGCAGCAGUGGGGAAUAUUGGACAAUGGGCGCAAGCCUGAUCCAGCCAUGCCGCGUGGGUGAUGAAGGCCCUAGGGUUGUAAAGCCCUUUCGGCGGGGAAGAUAAUGACGGUACCCGCAGAAGAAGCCCCGGCUAACUUCGU
RNAcentral lists this ribosomal RNA (433 nucleotides) under uncultured bacterium. RNAcentral's name for it is "bacterial SSU rRNA". It matches the Rfam family "Bacterial small subunit ribosomal RNA", at positions 29 to 506 of the family's 1533-position model. The record is from RNAcentral.